AGCCCGUCUAGAAUGGAUUAUGAAAAAUAAAUGUUCAGACCAUGGAUACAUUUUGAAAUUCUAAAACAAAAAUUAUUCAGGAAUAUUUGUGCAUGCAUAAAUGAUGGUCUCUGAUCUUUGGCAGGUAACUCACACUGAGGAUCGCUAGUGGAAGAGCAGGGUUGUUUCACCUUAGGCAUUAGGACACCGAGCAGUAGCAGUAGAAGGAAUGUCACAUGCACUUUCUCAGAUAUACUGCGCAGACUGAUAUCCAGUUUAGAUGUUUGGCUGCAUUUCUGCAUUUGGCUGCAUGCAAGUAAUAUCAAAACUGUUGCAAUUUUUGCUCAUGCGUCACACACAGAUGUGUUUAUUAGCUUCUGUUUCACCUGCAUUUGAAAGAGUUGCUCUUCAUGUCUUUUAGAGUUAGAGGCAGCCCUGUUGAAGGAGCUUGACCCACAGCUUCAUGCCCACUUGGCCACAGACAACAUGGAGAGCUUCACCUUCUGUCACAGAUGGCUGCUGCUGGGGUUCCAGAGGGAGUUUGAACACAGUGAUGCUUUGCGUUUGUUUGAGAUCCUCAGCUGCGACCACUUAGAGCUCAUCUCGCAGCAGGUAGACCGUGCCCGCUAUCAGGAGAGGCUGGCACAAAAACACAGCACAGAGGAUAAUCCAGGAUCAGAGCCCCUAGCCAUCAACACCGACUUUACCUUUGAGCUCUUCAUCUGUGCAGCCAUCCUGUUGGAAAACAGAGAGUCUCUGCUGAGGUGCCGAGAUGACGUACAGCUGCUCCAGUUUGCUAGCAGCCUUCAGGGAACACUGGACUUAAACAGCACGCUGAAGAAAGCGGAGCAGCAUUUCUACAACUACUGCAAGCGGCAUGCUUGGGACUAUAUGAAUGGCUGCUGUAGGACAAGGAAGAGCAAAGAAGAUCACUUCCUUUAUCAGCUGCGUAGUUUAUUUCUUUGAUGAGAUUGCUUCUGCUGAAUUCAUGACAGCGAGAGUCAGAUUCAUGUGAAAUUUGACUCACAACAAGGGACCUACAAUGCUGACAAGGGGUUGUUUUUUAUGGCACAUAUUGUUUGUCUUAUAGUCUUUAUACUCCUGAGGGAAAUACCCUAAGGUGUUGAUGCUGCUUACCUUGAAUUCCAUAGGAUUACAUUAUCAAAUAUUACUGUUUAUCAUACAGUAAAUGCAUUUAUUGUAUGGUAUGGUGGACCUAUAAAUAAUUUAAGCUUUAGUUAAGUUCUUUUUUCUCUCUCUCUCAAAGUUUUUAAGAAAUUACCUCAGAAUCAGAUCUAUGAAAAAUGAAUGUUCUUGGCCAUGUGCAGCCACUGGAAGAAAACAGCUACUUGAGAGGCACGUGUUGAACACUGAGAUAUGGUGUGUCGCAACAGUCUAUCACUAGUGGGUGUUGUAUCUAAUGCCAGACGGCACAUGUGUCAAAGAGGCCUAUGUAACCAGAGUAGUAUUACACUAUUUUAGCUCUAGCAGAGAGGGAGGGGGCAUGUGGUAAGGGGGGAAACAUAGACUUUACUUCACAGUAAGAUGUCAUAAUUUAUUUAAUCUGAAAGAAAAGUUAUGAUUGUAUCAAAGGUCCUCUAUUCAAAAUUGUACCUCAGUAAAUCUGGUGAAGAUUUUAUUAAUUCAGUGUACUUAUAUAGGAUAUGGUAAGGUAUAGUAUAUGUUAAGAUAUGAAGAAGGACCCAGUGGUUCAUAAUGUUCACUGUCUCAUCUUUAUGUGCACAGGACAAAAAACAAUAAUAAAGGUGUGUGUGUGUGUGUGUGUGUGUGUGUGUGUGUGAACUGUUUUGAAUUUGAAAUUCUACUUUGUAGUAAGUUGAGACAACA
This is a long non-coding RNA of Myripristis murdjan (pinecone soldierfish), 1827 nucleotides long. The record is from Ensembl. NCBI's taxonomy places the organism in Eukaryota, Metazoa, Chordata, Actinopteri, Holocentriformes, Holocentridae.